This 253-nucleotide ribosomal RNA is filed under the name uncultured bacterium. RNAcentral describes it as "partial 16S ribosomal RNA". It matches the Rfam family "Bacterial small subunit ribosomal RNA", at positions 524 to 776 of the family's 1533-position model. The record is from RNAcentral.
UACGUAGGAGGCGAGCGUUGUCCGGAGUUACUGGGCGUAAAGCGCACGCAGGCGGUCUCUUUAGUCUGUAGGGACAGGGCACAGCUUAACUGUGUCAGGCUUACGGAAACUGGGAGACUUGAGGGCUUCAGAGGGAUGGGGAAUUCCGGGUGGAGUGGUGAAAUGCGUAGAGAUCCGGAAGAACACCAAAGGCGAAGGCACCAUCCUGGGGAGUCACUGACGCUCGGGUGCGAAAGCUAGGUGAGCGAACGGG